GUAAUCCUUGGGCCAAUGUUUCUGACAUUGUUGCUUUUUUUCGUCAGUGGCAUACCGUUGCUUGAGAUAUCUGCUGACAAGAAAUUUGGCAAUGUGGCUGCAUAUAGGGUGUACAAGAGGACAACAAGCCCUCUCAUUCCUCUGCCCCCUGUAGUAUAUGGGAACUUGCCUUCAUGGUUGAAAACAACUUUCCUCUUCGAAUUCCCUUUCUAUAGUCUCAAUCCUGUUCCAUAGUCGCUGUCUUCCUCAUGAGGGGACAACAUGGUGAGACUACUGUACAAUCUGAAGAACCUAUACUGCUCUAGCAUGUGAUUUGACCAAUUUUGCAUUACUGAUGAGUUUUGUGCUUGGAAUAUUGUUCUCAUUUUUCAUAUAAACUUGCAGUAUUCUCAGGAGAAUCUAUUUAUAGUAGUGUGUAUGAAACUGUGGGAUGCUAAACUUGUGUAAUUUUUACAUUUCCAUGGUGUUUUUCUUUAAAUUUUUACUCCUAAAUUAUUAUAAUCUUUUUU
RNAcentral lists this unclassified non-coding RNA (509 nucleotides) under Hevea brasiliensis (rubber tree). Lineage: Eukaryota; Viridiplantae; Streptophyta; Magnoliopsida; Malpighiales; Euphorbiaceae. The record is from RNAcentral.